This 527-nucleotide ribosomal RNA is filed under the name uncultured bacterium. RNAcentral's name for it is "bacterial SSU rRNA". It matches the Rfam family "Bacterial small subunit ribosomal RNA", at positions 49 to 573 of the family's 1533-position model. The record is from RNAcentral.
UAACACAUGCAAGUCGAACGGUAACAGGAUGUGCUUGCACAUCGCUGACGAGUGGCGGACGGGUGAGUUAUGCUUGGGAACUUGCCUUUGCGAGGGGGAUAACAGUUGGGAACGACUGCUAAUACCGCAUAAUGUCUACGGACCAAACGGGGCUUCGGCUCCGGCGCAGAGAGAGGCCCAAGUGAGAUUAGCUAGUUGGUAAGGUAACGGCUUACCAAGGCGACGAUCUCUAGCUGUUCUGAGAGGAAGAUCAGCCACACUGGGACUGAGACACGGCCCAGACUCCUACGGGAGGCAGCAGUGGGGAAUAUUGCACAAUGGGGGAAACCCUGAUGCAGCCAUGCCGCGUGUGUGAAGAAGGCCUUCGGGUUGUAAAGCACUUUCAGUUGUGAGGAAAAGUUAGUAGUUAAUACCUGCUAGCCGUGACGUUAACAACAGAAGAAGCACCGGCUAACUCCGUGCCAGCAGCCGCGGUAAUACGGAGGGUGCGAGCGUUAAUCGGAAUUACUGGGCGUAAAGCGCACGCA